UUACGGACAUAUCGCGUUGAAACACUCGUUCUCGUACGAACACCGAAGCAACAUCGAACCUGGUCAGUACCUAGAUGGGUGACCGCGUGGGAAUACCAGGUGCUGUAAG
This is a non-coding RNA of Acanthosepion pharaonis, 109 nucleotides long. The record is from the annotation of a GenBank genome assembly. NCBI's taxonomy places the organism in Eukaryota, Metazoa, Mollusca, Cephalopoda, Sepiida, Sepiidae.